UUAAAUUCGGCCCCUCUCUCCUUUCUCUAUCAUUUGGGCAAAAAUCGAAUUAUGGUUCCUUAAGUCCAGCCCAAGGAUUAAAACGCACCGUAGCAUCAUAUCCCCAAGCCAUGUGAAAUGUGAAUCAGCACCGUUCGCUUCGUGUGGUGGCAACACGGGGUUAUCUCUACGUGUUACCAUGAUCAUCACAAGGUCUCUGAACCUUUUCAUCAAGCAUUAGACAAUCAUCACCGUCCAAUUUGCAUAAUCCAGCUCCCAGAGAGUAGAGGACUCCGGUCCCCAUUCUUCGUCUUCUAAUUCCUUCUCUUCUCCGUUGCCUUUCUCGAUUUAGCUGAAUUCCCCAAUCCUUAAAGAGAAUCUGUGACGCUUCUCGCUAUGGCACCCAUUAGGGGCAUUUUUACGUUGCAAAGAGCUACUUUGAUUCGUCGUCAUAGUGAUAAGUGGAAUAUAGGCUUCAAAUCAUUCAGUACCCAAGCUGCAACAAAUGCUGGUAGUCCACAGCCUCCACCACCUCCUCCACCUCCGGAGAAAACCCAUUUUGGUGGUUUGAAAGAUGAGGACCGGAUUUUUACCAACUUGUAUGGGUUGCAUGACCCUUUUCUCAAAGGUGCCAUGAAACGGGGUGACUGGUAUAGAACUAAGGACUUGGUACUUAAGGGUGCUGAUUGGAUUGUUAAUGAAGUCAAGAAGUCUGGCCUCCGAGGACGUGGUGGUGCUGGUUUCCCCUCUGGUCUGAAAUGGUCAUUCAUGCCAAAAGUAUCUGAUGGCCGCCCUUCCUAUCUCGUGGUCAAUGCUGAUGAAAGUGAACCUGGAACUUGCAAAGACAGGGAAAUUAUGCGCCAUGAUCCACACAAGCUGUUAGAGGGCUGCUUAAUUGCUGGGGUGGGAAUGAGAGCCUCUGCUGCUUAUAUCUACAUUAGGGGUGAAUAUGUGAAUGAACGUAAAAACCUGGAAAGAGCACGAAAGGAAGCUUAUGAAGCUGGGUUUUUGGGCAAGAAUGCAUGUGGAUCAGGCUAUGAUUUUGAUGUUCAUAUCCACUAUGGUGCUGGUGCUUAUAUUUGUGGUGAAGAGACUGCUCUUUUAGAAAGCCUAGAAGGAAAACAAGGGAAACCAAGGCUGAAGCCUCCCUUCCCAGCCAAUGCAGGGUUAUAUGGCUGCCCCACAACUGUUACAAAUGUGGAAACAGUGGCGGUGUCUCCCACCAUUUUGAGGCGUGGACCAGAAUGGUUUGCUAGUUUUGGUAGGAAGAACAAUUCUGGGACAAAAUUGUUUUGUGUGUCAGGUCAUGUGAAUAAGCCUUGCACAGUUGAAGAGGAGAUGAGUAUUCCUCUAAAAGAGUUAAUAGAUAGGCACUGUGGAGGUGUUCGAGGUGGAUGGGAUAAUCUACUUGCAAUAAUACCAGGGGGUUCUUCUGUCCCAUUGAUUCCCAAGCACAUAUGUGAUGAUGUGCUAAUGGAUUAUGAUGCACUUAAGGCUGUCCAGUCAGGGCUGGGGACUGCAGCCGUGAUUGUGAUGGAUAAAUCUACUGAUGUUGUGGAUGCAAUUGCAAGGUUGUCAUACUUCUACAAGCAUGAAAGCUGUGGGCAGUGCACUCCUUGCAGGGAGGGGACAGGGUGGCUUUGGAUGAUCAUGGAAAGGUUGAAGGUUGGGAAUGCAAAGUUGGAAGAGAUAGAUAUGCUUCAAGAGGUGACAAAACAAAUUGAAGGUCACACUAUCUGUGCAUUGGGUGAUGCUGCAGCUUGGCCUGUGCAGGGCCUCAUCAGGCAUUUUAGACCAGAGCUUGAAAGAAGGAUUAAGGAGCGUGCAGAGAGGGAGUUGCUGGAGGCUGCUGCAUAAGGUUUUCUAUACGGUAUUGUGUCUUAUACUACUAAUAUAAUACUAAAUUAGAUUUCAAAAGGAAAUGUAAUAAUUGCAUCAUGAAUAUGCAUGGACUUGGGUGAUUAUUAUUAUAAAAUUGAUAUAUCCCUGAUUGAUGCUUUUAAACAUUGCAGAUGGGUGGUCAAGGUUAGCUUUAUUUGUAGAGAUUUUGUAGUGAUUUCAUGAAAAAUUACUGCCUCCCCCUCACCAAUACACCCCAACAUGAUUGAUGUGCAGGAUAUGCGAUAUAAUCACUAGAUUGCCUUAUUCCUGUAUAAGGUUAACAUGUUUAUAGAAUAUUAGGUGACCAUUUUCAUCCUCAAAGAAGGCGCAGAAGUAUGAAUAGUGGGGAAGAGGAGGAACAAACCUCCCAUCUAGCCUCUACACCACUUAAAUUGCUGUACUAUGGAAUCUUAUCAAUUUUUCUCACAGCAGAAACAUUGGGAGCUACUAACCUUCUUUGGAUUUAUCUGUCUUUUAGUAGUAUAAGUGGAUGCUCCAUUUUCUAACACUGUAUUGCUCCCUGGUAGCUUGGCUUCUGACACUCUGUUUUUGUGGUGGUUAUGGGAUAGAGGAGGAAGUUGUAAUCACUUGGAAAUACAUUCAUGAGCAUCUGCAUUCUUUUUAUAUUGAAUUACCUUACAACAUUGAAUUAUAAGUAGACACACGUGGAUGUACAUGAUCAAAGUGUUGCAUGAAGAGCUGUCUAUACACUUUUAUUAAAAUUAAGGAUGUAAGUAGAUUUGUAAUGUUCUCUAGUUUAUGAUUUUUUUCCCUGCAUGUUGAAAAUUAAUUAUUCAGGGGCCAAAGUAUUGGUGCUACCUAAUCCGAUAAUUAAAACAUCUGACCACUUUGAGUAGAUCAUACAUAACAAGCUUACCUUUUCAUGAGUUGAUAUCUAGAUUUCUGUUGAGCUAAUCUGUGUGCAAAAAAUUACAAAAAUUUUCUGUACAAUUAAUGAUUGGUUUGUGUUCUUUUGUGCAGGGAAAUGAUGCCAAUGAUGGACCUUGUGGAAUAAAUGAACUACCGUUUAGUUUGGUGGUUAGUUGACUCUGGCCUCAAGCAGUCGUAUUAGAUCUCUUUUUUGUUUUAGAACUGUAUCAAAUAUGAGUUUCACUGCUCCAGAGAAAUAGUGAUUUUAUCUGGGAAGUGAUGAGUUCUUAUUAAUUAAUGUGUUUUAACAUUUAUCUGGGAAACCUUUUUGAAGGAAAAAGAAGCAACAAACGUUAAUAAUAUCCAUAUUUCAACUCUUUGAUAAGAUUGACAGAUUUUUGGUUUUCUAUUGGAAUUGGAUGUUGUAUGCUUGCUGCAAUCAGGCAUGAAGGUAAAAUAUUAUUCUCUCACUGUAUUCUUCUUAUCUUCUUGAGGUUAUG
This 3230-nucleotide unclassified non-coding RNA is filed under the name Hevea brasiliensis (rubber tree). The record is from RNAcentral. Lineage: Eukaryota; Viridiplantae; Streptophyta; Magnoliopsida; Malpighiales; Euphorbiaceae.